Long non-coding RNA from Parus major (Great Tit), 1711 nucleotides. RefSeq lists it as uncharacterized. The transcript has 2 exons. The record is from RefSeq and is a predicted model, not a curated record. Lineage: Eukaryota; Metazoa; Chordata; Aves; Passeriformes; Paridae.
GAUGCUGCUGUGUGUCCAGGAGGCACCACCUUUAUCUCCUUCCUGUCCAUUCCCUCUUUAAUCAUGGGUCUUGGCCAUGGCAAAGUGACACCUGAUUUCAGACUGGAUUUCAGAACAGGCCUCGACAUUACAGCUGAGCUUUGCUUGUGGGCCAAGACUCUCUUCUUCCUGAUACUGUUUGCAUCAGAUUGGAAAGUUCUGAUCAGCUCCGGGGAUGUUGGGACCUGUGGGUCAAGGUUUUCCUUGUGGCAGACCAGCCUGUUCUGCAGCCCCUCAUUCAGGGAGUGAGGUGCUCCAAGAGGAGGGUGGUCACUUUCCACCUGAGGUGCUGCUGCAGUGACAGUCUCCUGUGUAGACUUCUGGUUCCUUUUUGGCUUUAGGUGACCAGAGCUUGAAGGUGGGAGCCUGCCUCUAGUCUGUGCAGAAGCAGGAAGUGUCAUGGUGUUCCCUGGCUGCGCUGGACGCACCCCUCCUGCUCUCUGGGAUGUAUUUGAAGGCUUCUUCUGAGCAAUGUGGCCAGUGUGCUGUGUGGAUUUGGCUCCAAGUUUGCCAUCCUCUUGAGCACCCUCCAUCACAUUCCCAAGAACAUCCUUCUUGUUCCUGUCAACCUGGAAAGACAAAGCAACCCUCAGCUCCAAGGAGAGCGCAGCUUUGUCAGACCCUGACAGCUGGCCCAGGGGACAGUCAUGUGACAAAGCAGCUGUCAACAGAACAAUAACACAAUACCCACCAGGACACGGGCAAAGGAUCAGUCUCCCAAACUGAAACUCCUAAGCUAAACUCCUUUGAAAAACAGCUAGUUGACUCAUUGCCAGCUAUUUAGCAAUCUGUGGUAUGUCCCCCAUUUGGAGUCAGGAACUCAUGACCUGACUUGGGGUUGUGGUUUUUAAAGCAAGUUACAGACUUGAAUUGAAGCCAGGAUGAAAAAUUAUGAUGACUGAAGUACAUUCGCUUGUGACACUAUAAGCAGCAAUCCUGAGUGAGACCUUUUGAGCUCUCUUGGACUGUGUAGGCUGUGACCAGCAUCUCCCUCCAAGUGGGGAUUCUCAGAGCUAGAAAACUUUCAUGUUUGCUGUACUUGGGGGAACAGCAACAUGUCAACAGAGAUAGGGCUGAGACCCCCUUUCCCCAAGGCUCAACCCUUUUCCUGUUGAGAAGAUACAAAGGCAUGAGUCCUUCACUGAAUUUGAGGAGAACUUUUCACAGAUAUAUCUUGUACAAACUCUUUAGGUCUAUGUGUGUGUAAGUAUGGUAGAGCAAAUGUUCUAUGAAUGUGGCUUUCCUUGGUUCUUAAGUACUUUAGAUUUUUAAGUCAGGCCUGUAAGCAAGUUAUUUUUGUGCUACAGUAAAUUCUAGAUUAAUCCUUUGUUAAAAUAUUUAACUGAAGCUAUUCAUUAAAUGCUAUUAAGUUUAAGUGCUGUUAAAACUUUCAGACCUAAACUGUUGGUCAAGCCCAGUGCUCAGAUUAGCAAGGCAGUCUCUGCUCUGAAUCUUGUGACUCAAUGGACCUUCCUUGUUCCUUUUUAUCCUUAUCCUUCCCUGACUCCCCCAGCCCCCACAUAGAUAACUUUUGCACUGGUUUCGGUCUUAGAUUGAUUGAUUUUAGCUUGCUUUUUCUCUAUCUGCUUUAACCAUCCAGUAAGUAGUUGAGUGAACCUUGACAAUGAACUUCUUUGUGCUUUCACUUCUACAUUAAAACUGCUUUUGCUGA